Molecule: ribosomal RNA, 489 nt
Filed under: uncultured bacterium
Lineage: Bacteria
Description: partial 16S ribosomal RNA
Rfam family: Bacterial small subunit ribosomal RNA
Source: RNAcentral
GAUGAACGCUAGCGGCAGGCUUAAUACAUGCAAGUCGAGGGGCAGCAGGACUGUAGCAAUACCGUUGCUGGCGACCGGCACACGGGUGCGGAACACGUACGCAACCUACCCAAAACUGGGGGAUAGCCCGGGGAAACCCGGAUUAAUACCUCGUAACCUUUUUAAGUGGCAUCACUUGAUAAGUAUAGCUCCGGCGGUUUUGGAUGGGCGUGCGCCUGAUUAGGUAGUUGGUGCGGGUAACGGCCCACCAAGCCUGCGAUCAGUAACUGGUGUGAGAGCACGACCAGUCACACGGGCACUGAGACACGGGCCCGACUCCUACGGGAGGCAGCAGUAAGGAAUAUUGGUCAAUGGACGCAAGUCUGAACCAGCCAUGCCGCGUGAAGGAGGAAGGUCCUCGGGAUUGUAAACUUCUUUUAUGGGGGACGAAACCCGGAUAUUCUUAUCCGAUUGACGGUACCUCAGGAAUAAGCACCGGCUAACUCCGUG